ACGUGUCUCCGAUGGGUGCGGCGCGCCCCGCUCCGGCCGGUUCGGCCGUGCAGCGGGUGGGCCGUCCCGUCGAUCCCAACCACCAAACCCCACUGUGAACCUUCACGGCGGAGGGGGUUCCGGCCCCCGAUGCCGCACACCGCAAACCCCAGUUCUAAAGAAUGUCGUGCGGACGCUGUGCCGCCUAAUACACGCGUGA
RNAcentral lists this unclassified non-coding RNA (199 nucleotides) under uncultured fungus. Its description in RNAcentral is "sequence contains ITS1, 5.8S rRNA gene". The record is from RNAcentral. Lineage: Eukaryota; Fungi. RNAcentral also lists the same sequence under 1 other name.